UAAGAUUUAGUUUAAAGUAAAACAUUAAUUUGUCAAAUUAAAAAUAAAUAAAAAUUUAAUCUUAA
RNAcentral lists this transfer RNA (65 nucleotides) under Hippotiscus dorsalis. Its description in RNAcentral is "tRNA-Asp". Lineage: Eukaryota; Metazoa; Arthropoda; Insecta; Hemiptera; Pentatomidae. The record is from RNAcentral.